This 492-nucleotide ribosomal RNA is filed under the name uncultured bacterium. Its description in RNAcentral is "partial 16S ribosomal RNA". It matches the Rfam family "Bacterial small subunit ribosomal RNA", at positions 29 to 507 of the family's 1533-position model. The record is from RNAcentral.
AGUGAACGCUGGCGGUAGGCCUAACACAUGCAAGUCGAACGGCAGCACAGUAAGAGCUUGCUCUUACGGGUGGCGAGUGGCGGACGGGUGAGGAAUACAUCGGAAUCUACUUUUUCGUGGGGGAUAACGUAGGGAGACUUACGCUAAUACCGCAUACGACCUACGGGUGAAAGCAGGGGAUCUUCGGACCUUGCGCGAUUGAAUGAGCCGAUGUCGGAUUAGCUAGUUGGCGGGGUAAAGGCCCACCAAGGCGACGAUCCGUAGCUGGUCUAAGAGGAUGAUCAGCCACACUGGAACUGAGACACGGUCCAGACUCCUACGGGAGGCAGCAGUGGGGAAUAUUGGACAAUGGGCGCAAGCCUGAUCCAGCCAUACCGCGUGGGUGAAGAAGGCCUUCGGGUUGUAAAGCCCUUUUGUUGGGAAAGAAAAGCAGCAGGUUAAUACCCCGCUGUUCUGACGGUACCCAAAGAAUAAGCACCGGCUAACUUCGUG